This 510-nucleotide ribosomal RNA is filed under the name Triticum aestivum (bread wheat). RNAcentral describes it as "partial small subunit ribosomal RNA". Lineage: Eukaryota; Viridiplantae; Streptophyta; Magnoliopsida; Poales; Poaceae. The record is from RNAcentral.
AUGUGGCAGAUCAGAGAGGGGAAUGAAAUCCCUAGCCACACCUCAUUGCAAAUCGGGCCUAGCCACAUCUUCAUCUCUCUCCCCCUCACCACUCCUUCUCCACCUCCGGCCGCCGCCACGACCAGGCCGGCGUGGUGGUGCACCUCCACAGCCCAUCCACCCACCAGCGCCAUCCAUCACCAGCACCAACACCCAGCGCCACCAUCACCUCCUGCCGCCAGUGCCACCACCACCUCGCGCACCCUGCAAUCCAUCUCCCUGUUGCUCCUCCACCUUUCUUCUUCUCGUAACCUACUGCUGCUCUCCUUCUUCUUCCCUAGCCUCGCUGCUGCUCUUCCUUCUCCAAAUCCCCAAACUGUUGCUCCUCUUUCUUACACGCCUGCUGCUGUUCUUCUUCUCCUAUCUUGCUGCACCACUACUGUUGCUCCUUGUCUCCUGCGUCCCCUGCUGCUCCUAACUUGCUGCUACUGCUGCUCCUUCCUCCCUUACCUUGCUGCUGCACUUCUCUGA